This 424-nucleotide ribosomal RNA is filed under the name uncultured bacterium. Its description in RNAcentral is "bacterial SSU rRNA". It matches the Rfam family "Bacterial small subunit ribosomal RNA", at positions 353 to 793 of the family's 1533-position model. The record is from RNAcentral.
AGUGGGGAAUAUUGCACAAUGGGCGCAAGCCUGAUGCAGCAACGCCGCGUGAGCGAUGAAGGCCUUCGGGUCGUAAAGCUCUGUCCUCAAGGAAGAAUAAAUGACGGUACUUGAGGAGGAAGCCCCCGGCUAACUACGUGCCAGCAGCCGCGGUAAUACGUAGGGGCAAGCGUUAUCCGGAAUCACUGGGCGUAAAGGGUGCGUAGGCGGUUUUUCAAGUCAGAAGUGAAAGGCUAUGGCUCAACCAUAGUAAGCUUUUGAAACUGUUAAACUUGAGUGCAGGAGAGGAAAGUGGAAUUCCUAGUGUAGAGGUGAAAUUCGUAGAUAUUAGGAGGAACACCAGUGGCGAAGGCGACUUUCUGGACUGUAACUGACGCUGAGGCACGAAAGCGUGGGGAGCGAACAGGAUUAGAUACCCUGGUAG